RNAcentral lists this ribosomal RNA (105 nucleotides) under Ruminococcaceae bacterium AM07-15. RNAcentral describes it as "partial 23S ribosomal RNA". It matches the Rfam family "Bacterial large subunit ribosomal RNA", at positions 2821 to 2925 of the family's 2925-position model. The record is from RNAcentral. Lineage: Bacteria; Bacillati; Bacillota; Clostridia; Eubacteriales; Oscillospiraceae.
GAAAGGAGUAAGGCCCCACAAAGACUAUGUGGUUGAUAGGUCAGAGAUGUAAGUGCAGUAAUGCAUUCAGUCGACUGAUACUAAUAGGCCGAGGGCUUGACCUAA